This 401-nucleotide ribosomal RNA is filed under the name uncultured bacterium. RNAcentral's name for it is "bacterial SSU rRNA". It matches the Rfam family "Bacterial small subunit ribosomal RNA", at positions 359 to 776 of the family's 1533-position model. The record is from RNAcentral.
GAAUAUUGCACAAUGGGCGCAAGCCUGAUGCAGCGACGCCGCGUGGGCGAAGAAGGUUUUCGGAUCGUAAAGCCCUUUUCUGUGUGACGAGAAAGGACGGUAGCCCAGGACUCAGUGUCGGCUAACUACGUUCCAGCAGCCGCGGUAAAACGUAGGACGCAAGCGUUAUCCGGAUUUACUGGGCGUAAAGCGCGAGCAGGCGGUUUAGUAAGUUACCUAUGAAAGCUCCUGGCUAAACUGGGAGAGGUUAGGUGAUACUGUUAGACUAGAGUAAGGUAGAGGGAAGUAGAAUUCCGGGUGUAGUGGUGAAAUGCGUAGAUAUCCGGAGGAAUACCAGUGGCGAAGGCGGCUUCCUGGCCCUUAACUGACGCUGAGACGCGAAAGCGUGGGUAGCGAACGGG